AACACAUGCAAGUCGAGGGGCAGCAUGGUCUUAGCUUGCUAAGGCCGAUGGCGACCGGCGCACGGGUGAGUAACACGUAUCCAACCUGCCGUCUACUCUUGGACAGCCUUCUGAAAGGAAGAUUAAUACAAGAUGGCAUCAUGAGUCCGCAUGUUCACAUGAUUAAAGGUAUUCCGGUAGACGAUGGGGAUGCGUUCCAUUAGAUAGUAGGCGGGGUAACGGCCCACCUAGUCUUCGAUGGAUAGGGGUUCUGAGAGGAAGGUCCCCCACAUUGGAACUGAGACACGGUCCAAACUCCUACGGGAGGCAGCAGUGAGGAAUAUUGGUCAAUGGGCGAGAGCCUGAACCAGCCAAGUAGCGUGAAGGAUGACUGCCCUAUGGGUUGUAAACUUCUUUUAUAAAGGAAUAAAGUCGGGUAUGGAUACCCGUUUGCAUGUACUUUAUGAAUAAGGAUCGGCUAACUCCGUGCCAGCAGCCGCGGUAAUACGGAGGAUCCGAGCGUUAUCCGGAUUUAUUGGGUUUAAAGGGAGCGUAGAUGGAUGUUUAAGUCAGUUGUGAAAGUUUGCGGCUCAACCGUAAAAUUGCAGUUGAUACUGGAUAUCUUGAGUGCAGUUGAGGCA
RNAcentral lists this ribosomal RNA (620 nucleotides) under uncultured bacterium. RNAcentral describes it as "bacterial SSU rRNA". It matches the Rfam family "Bacterial small subunit ribosomal RNA", at positions 50 to 659 of the family's 1533-position model. The record is from RNAcentral.